This 324-nucleotide ribosomal RNA is filed under the name uncultured eukaryote. Its description in RNAcentral is "partial 18S ribosomal RNA". It matches the Rfam family "Eukaryotic small subunit ribosomal RNA", at positions 1470 to 1796 of the family's 1831-position model. The record is from RNAcentral.
CCCUUAGAUGUUCUGGGCCGCACGCGAGCUACACUGAUGCAUUCAACGAGUUUCUUCCUGGUCCGAGAGGAAUGGGUAACCUUUUGAAAGUGCAUCGUGAUAGGGAUAGACUAUUGCAAUUAUUGGUCUUCAACGAGGAAUUCCUAGUAGACGUAGUUCAUCAGACUGCAUCGAUUACGUCCCUGCCCUUUGUACACACCGCCCGUCGCUCCUACCGAUUGAAUGCUCAGGUGAGCCAUUCGGACUUUCAUCAUGCUGGUUUCCAGUUUUGAUGAAGGAAAGUCUUGCGAACCUUAUCAUUUAGAGGAAGGAGAAGUCGUAACA